GGGGCACCUGAUCUAGCCAUGCCGCGUGAGUGAUGAAGGCCCUAGGGUCGUAAAGCUCUUUCGCCAGGGAUGAUAAUGACAGUACCUGGUAAAGAAACCCCGGCUAACUCCGUGCCAGCAGCCGCGGUAAUACGGAGGGGGUUAGCGUUGUUCGGAAUUACUGGGCGUAAAGCGCGCGUAGGCGGAUCAGAAAGUUGGGGGUGAAAUCCCGGGGCUCAACCCCGGAACUGCCUCCAAAACUCCUGGUCUUGAGUUCGAGAGAGGUGAGUGGAAUUCCGAGUGUAGAGGUGAAAUUCGUAGAUAUUCGGAGGAACACCAGUGGCGAAGGCGGCUCACUGGCUCGAUACUGACGCUGAGGUGCGAAAGUGUGGGGAGCAAACAGGAUUAGAUACCCCCGGUAGUCA
RNAcentral lists this ribosomal RNA (404 nucleotides) under Antarctobacter albus. RNAcentral's name for it is "bacterial SSU rRNA". It matches the Rfam family "Bacterial small subunit ribosomal RNA", at positions 374 to 796 of the family's 1533-position model. The record is from RNAcentral. Lineage: Bacteria; Pseudomonadati; Pseudomonadota; Alphaproteobacteria; Rhodobacterales; Roseobacteraceae.